Molecule: non-coding RNA, 479 nt
Organism: Carcharodon carcharias (great white shark)
Lineage: Eukaryota; Metazoa; Chordata; Chondrichthyes; Lamniformes; Lamnidae
Source: the annotation of a RefSeq genome assembly
AAGACUUCAAGUUAAAAAUGUAUCUGUUGCUGGGUCUGAUGACCUUGUUUCACCAUGUGAACUCACAGACUAUCCGCCAGACUCCCGCUGCCGUCUCCAGAUUUCCCGGGGAUGAAGUGGAACUGGAGUGCACUGUGGAGGGGCGCAGUAACCUUGACAUGUUCUGGUACAGACAGUACCCGGGGAGGGAGCCGCAGCUGAUGUUUUACUCCACAGGCACUAAUCAGUUGAGUUCAGAGGGGCCGGUGGACAGUUUCACCGCCCGGAGACCGAGUGACUCCGAGUUCAUGCUGAAGACCCCCAGCCUGCGGGCGAAUCACUCGGCCGUGUAUUACUGCGCCUGGCGUCUGCACAGUGACUCAGAGAGAUUGAACAGCUCAACAAAAACCCCAAAGACGGCAGGAAACAGCUGCUCGAGACAACAUUACGAGGCGCUUCGACUCGCUGUUUCUUUUUCUCUCGGGACAAAGACCUUUUGA